GACGAACGCUGGCGGCGCGCUUAACACAUGCAAGUCGAACGGAAAGGCCUGCUUUCCCUUGUGGAUUGCGGGUACUCGAGUGGCGAACGGGUGAGUAACACGUGAGUGAUCUGCCCCCAACUUGGGUAUAAGCCUGGGAAACUGGGUCUAAUUCCCGAUAGGACUGCAGGGUGGUGCCUGUGGUGGAAAACGAUUUUCUAGUGGUUGGGGAUGAGCUCGCGGCCUAUCAACUUGUUGGUGGGGUAAUGGCCUACAAAGGCGGCGACGGGUAGCCGGCCUGAGAGGGUGGACGGCCACAUUGGGACUGAGAUACGGCCCAGACUCCUACGGGAGGCAGCAGUGGGGAAGAUUGCACAAUGGGCGGAAGCCUGAUGCAGCGACGCCGCGUGGGGGAUGACGGCCUUCGGGUUGUAAACUCCUUUCGACCGCGAGGAAGCCACCUGGUUGGAAGGGUGGUGACGGUAGUGGUAGAAGAAGCACCGGCUAACUACGUG
Molecule: ribosomal RNA, 494 nt
Filed under: uncultured bacterium
Lineage: Bacteria
Description: partial 16S ribosomal RNA
Rfam family: Bacterial small subunit ribosomal RNA
Source: RNAcentral